GCUCAGCUAGUAAAGAGUCUGCCUGCAAUGCAGGAGACCCGGGUUCAAUUCCUGGGUUGGGCA
This 63-nucleotide transfer RNA is filed under the name Bos taurus (domestic cattle). It matches the Rfam family "tRNA". From Rfam's summary of the family: Transfer RNA (tRNA) molecules are approximately 80 nucleotides in length. RNAcentral also lists the same sequence under 5 other names. Lineage: Eukaryota; Metazoa; Chordata; Mammalia; Artiodactyla; Bovidae. The record is from Rfam by way of RNAcentral.